UACAGGGGGUGCAAACGUUGCUCGGAAUUAUUGGGCGUAAAGCGCACGUAGGCGGUUCGUUAUGUCAGAUGUGAAAGCCCUUGGCUCAACUGAGGAAGUGCAUCUGAAACUGGCGAGCUAGAGUAUGUAAGAGGGUCGCGGAAUUCCCGGUGUAGAGGUGAAAUUCGUAGAUAUCGGGAGGAACACCGGUGGCGAAGGCGGCGACCUGGGACAAUACUGACGCUGAGGUGCGAAAGCGUGGGGAGCGAACAGG
Molecule: ribosomal RNA, 253 nt
Filed under: uncultured bacterium
Lineage: Bacteria
Description: partial 16S ribosomal RNA
Rfam family: Bacterial small subunit ribosomal RNA
Source: RNAcentral